Molecule: unclassified non-coding RNA, 295 nt
Filed under: fungal sp.
Lineage: Eukaryota; Fungi
Description: partial internal transcribed spacer region
Rfam family: Eukaryotic small subunit ribosomal RNA (bases 1-46)
Source: RNAcentral
AAGUCGUAACAAGGUUUCCGUAGGUGAACCUGCGGAAGGAUCAUUAACACAAAACUCUUUUUCUUUCUUUGGAUCUUUUCAAAGAAAAAAAAGAAAAACCCUAUCCACCCCAUUUGUACGAACGAUGAUUUAUUUCAUCUUGUCUCUUCUUUAUCCCAAACCUAUUUUUUUUUACCCCAUAUACCAAACAUGCGAUAGACUGAUAUCAUUUUUAUGAUCAUUAUCUUUAUGAUUUAAUGAUUACUAAAACAACUCUUAGCAACGGAUAUCUUGGCUCUCGCAUCGAUGACGCAGC